Molecule: small RNA, 145 nt
Filed under: Manihot esculenta (cassava)
Lineage: Eukaryota; Viridiplantae; Streptophyta; Magnoliopsida; Malpighiales; Euphorbiaceae
Description: precursor microRNA miR172g
Source: RNAcentral
UUGGCAGAUGCGGCAACAUCAAGAUUCACAACUUCCGGAGGCUUCACUCUGAGGUAAGGCUACUGCCGACCUGGGCCAGUCGCCUACUCAAUCGGGAGAGUUCCUCGUUUUUAUGAGAAUCUUGAUGAUGCUGCAUCAGCAAAUA